RNAcentral lists this long non-coding RNA (1022 nucleotides) under Monodelphis domestica (gray short-tailed opossum). Its description in RNAcentral is "lncRNA (ENSMODG00000040060.1)". The record is from RNAcentral. Lineage: Eukaryota; Metazoa; Chordata; Mammalia; Didelphimorphia; Didelphidae.
GAUGGUCUCCAGGCAAUGCCUUCCCACCUUUACCCAAUAAAGCUAACAUUCCGCACCAAGAUUCCAGAAUCAUCCAUUGAGAGCUGGAAGGGAUCUUAGAGACCAUUUAGUCCAACUCCUUGUUUUUACAGAUGGAACUGAAGUUAGAGAAGUUAUUUGUCUAAAGUCACAGAAGUAACAAAGAUGCCUCUUGGAGUAUCCAUGGUGAUGGUAAAGGAGAGCUCUCAGACAGAAGGGUCCAGAAUGAUCCUGAGUCUCCUCUUCUCAGUUCCUGGAUAAUGUGAUUUACAGAGCAGGUGCUUCACUGUUUAUUGACUGAGAAUGCAGCCAGUAGAGGAAUGGCCAGCUGGGUAUCAACCUGCCUUAAAUGUAGAUUCUGGCAGGAGCCAUCCAAUCAGAGAGAGGAUACAGAGGCAGCAGAGGAUACAUUAAUAAGUAAAACUUUCUGGUCAUUGCCAACUCAAAGUCUUCAAAGAGUGCAGUAUCGAAUGAUUCACAAUCACACAUCAGAAAAAAAAAAUUGUACUGCUCUGGCAAGUUCUACCAUGAUGAGAAGGUUUAAAAUUCAGUUCCAGCAAUAAACAAUAUCUGCUUUCCAGGGAUUACUCUUGCUAAGUACCCAGAAGCUCAACAAAUUGGUGAUUCAUUCUUUGGCCAUGGCAGCCCAUGAAACUUUCCUUAUUCAGGAAAGUAUAAAUAUAUUUAUUCAAAGCAAUAUUUCAUUUAAUCUUUCAAUAUACUGAAUACACAGAAGUUCUAAUUUAUUAUUAUUUUUUAAUUACGAAGCAUAACUUACUUUUAAACGCCCAAUGCUAAUCAUUCUUCUCAAUGUUCGUUUGUAUAAGUCCUUUUUCAUGCUUUGAUCACAGGUACUUUCACAUGAAAGUAUUGACUGAGCUUAACUCCCUGGUUUAAUAUUCAAACAUGGGUAUGAAAUGCAAGUAAAGUUAUUUUUUAAUUAAUUGUUACUAUUAGCUUCUAUUAAAGGAACAGCCGGUUAAAUAAACUAAUAAAUUAUAGCA